GCUGGGCAUAGUGGCACAUGCCUGUAAUCCCAGUGGCUCCGGAGGCUGAGUCAGGAGGACUGAGAGUUCAAAGCCAGCCUCAGCAACAAUGAGGUACUAAGCAAUUCAGUGAGACCCUGUCUCUA
RNAcentral lists this small RNA (125 nucleotides) under Marmota monax (woodchuck). The record is from RNAcentral. Lineage: Eukaryota; Metazoa; Chordata; Mammalia; Rodentia; Sciuridae.